RNAcentral lists this transfer RNA (72 nucleotides) under Candidatus Nealsonbacteria bacterium RIFOXYB1_FULL_40_15. RNAcentral describes it as "tRNA-Thr". It matches the Rfam family "tRNA". Rfam says of the family: Transfer RNA (tRNA) molecules are approximately 80 nucleotides in length. Their secondary structure includes four short double-helical elements and three loops (D, anti-codon, and T loops). The record is from RNAcentral. Lineage: Bacteria; Candidatus Nealsoniibacteriota. RNAcentral also lists the same sequence under 1 other name.
GCCGAGAUAGCUCAAUGGCAGAGCAACGGUAUCGUAAACCGUAGGUUGCGAGUUCGACUCUCGCUCUCGGCU